GACGAACGCUGGCGGCGCGCCUAACACAUGCAAGUCGAACGAGCGAGAGAGAGCUUGCUUUCUCGAGCGAGUGGCGAACGGGUGAGUAACGCGUGAGGAACCUGCCUCAAAGAGGGGGACAACAGUUGGAAACGACUGCUAAUACCGCAUAAGCCCACGGCUCGGCAUCGAGCAGGGGGAAAAGGAGCAAUCCGCUUUGAGAUGGCCUCGCGUCCGAUUAGCUAGUUGGUGGGGUAACGGCCCACCAAGGCGACGAUCGGUAGCCGGACUGAGAGGUUGAACGGCCACAUUGGGACUGAGACACGGCCCAGACUCCUACGGGAGGCAGCAGUGGGGAAUAUUGCACAAUGGGGGAAACCCUGAUGCAGCGACGCCGCGUGGAGGAAGAAGGUCUUCGGAUUGUAAACUCCUGUUGUUGGGGAAGGUAAUGACGGUACCCAACAAGGAAGUGACGGCUAACUACGUG
This 466-nucleotide ribosomal RNA is filed under the name uncultured bacterium. Its description in RNAcentral is "partial 16S ribosomal RNA". It matches the Rfam family "Bacterial small subunit ribosomal RNA", at positions 28 to 507 of the family's 1533-position model. The record is from RNAcentral.